AGAAAAUAAAACGAACUAAUGCAUGGCUUCUAACCGCGCAAAGGGGGGUUCAAUUCCCUUCAUUUUCUU
This 69-nucleotide transfer RNA is filed under the name Pseudunio marocanus. Its description in RNAcentral is "tRNA-Ser". Lineage: Eukaryota; Metazoa; Mollusca; Bivalvia; Unionida; Margaritiferidae. The record is from RNAcentral.